UACGUAGGGCGCAAGCGUUGUCCGGAAUUAUUGGGCGUAAAGAGCUCGUAGGCGGUUUGUCGCGUCUGCUGUGAAAACCUAAGGCUCAACCUUGGGCUUGCAGUGGGUACGGGCAGACUAGAGUGCGGUAGGGGUGACUGGAAGUUCCUGGUGUAGCGGUGGAAUGCGCAGAUAUCAGGAGGAACACCGAUGGCGAAGGCAGGUCACUGGGCCGCAACUGACGCUGGAGGAGCGAAAGCGUGGGGAGCAAACAGG
Molecule: ribosomal RNA, 255 nt
Filed under: uncultured bacterium
Lineage: Bacteria
Description: partial 16S ribosomal RNA
Rfam family: Bacterial small subunit ribosomal RNA
Source: RNAcentral